RNAcentral lists this ribosomal RNA (814 nucleotides) under uncultured bacterium. Its description in RNAcentral is "bacterial SSU rRNA". It matches the Rfam family "Bacterial small subunit ribosomal RNA", at positions 53 to 916 of the family's 1533-position model. The record is from RNAcentral.
ACAUGCAAGUCGAACGCAGUAGCAAUACUGAGUGGCAGACGGGUGAGUAACAUGUGGGAAUCUGCCUUGUGGUUCAGGACAACAUUGGGAAACCGAUGCUAAUACUGGAUAAGCCCUUACGGGGAAAGUUUUAAUGCCAUAAGAUGAGCCCGCAUUUGAUUAGUUAGUUGGUGAGGUAAUGGCUCACCAAGACAAUGAUCAAUAGCUGAUCUGAGAGGAUGAUCAGCCACACUGGGACUGAGACACGGCCCAGACUCCUACGGGAGGCAGCAGUGGGGAAUCUUGCACAAUGGAGGAAACUCUGAUGCAGCGAUGCCGCGUGAGUGAAGAAGGCCUUUGGGUUGUAAAGCUCUUUUGUAGGGGAAGAUAAUGACUGUACCCUAAGAAUAAGGUCCGGCUAACUUCGUGCCAGCAGCCGCGGUAAUACGAAGGGACCUAGCGUAGUUCGGAAUUACUGGGCGUAAAGCGCGCGUAGGCCGUUGAGUUAGUUAAUUGUGAAAUCCCAAGGCUUAACUUUGGAACUGCAAUUAAAACUGCUCGACUAGAGUUUGAUAGAGGAAAGCGGAAUACAUAGUGUAGAGGUGAAAUUCGUAGAUAUUAUGUAGAACACCAGUUGCGAAGGCGGCUUUCUGGAUCAACACUGACGCUGAGGCGCGAAAGUAUGGGUAGCAAAGAGGAUUAGAUACCCUCGUAGUCCAUACCAUAAACGAUGAUUGCUAGAUGUUGGAAAUUUAUUUUCAGUAUCGCAGCUAACGCAUUAAGCAAUCCGCCUGGGGAGUACGACCGCAAGGUUAAAACUCAAAUGAAUUGACGG